This is a non-coding RNA of Gossypium arboreum, 107 nucleotides long. The record is from Rfam. NCBI's taxonomy places the organism in Eukaryota, Viridiplantae, Streptophyta, Magnoliopsida, Malvales, Malvaceae.
AACCCAUGGUUAGGGCACCUUUUCAAAAGGUCAUUGUAUCUCUCCCAUGCAUCAUAGAGUGUUUCUAAAUCCAUUUGCACAAAAUAAGAGAUAUCAUUACGUAAUUU